GUGUCAGCCGCCGCGGUAAUACAGAGGUCCCGAGCGUUGUUCGGAUUUACUGGGCGUAAAGGGUGCGUAGGUGGUCGGGUAAGUCUCAUGUGAAAUCCCGCAGCUUAACUGCGGAACGGCAUGGGAUACUAUUCGGCUCGAGGAUUGGAGGGGGGACUGGAAUUCCCGGUGUAGCAGUGAAAUGCGUAGAUAUCGGGAGGAACACCAGUGGCGAAGGCGAGUCCCUGGACAAUUCCUGACGCUGAGGCACGAAAGCCAGGGGAGCAAACAGGAUUAGAUACCCCUGUAGUCC
Molecule: ribosomal RNA, 292 nt
Filed under: uncultured bacterium
Lineage: Bacteria
Description: partial 16S ribosomal RNA
Rfam family: Bacterial small subunit ribosomal RNA
Source: RNAcentral